UGCUCCUGUAGCCCAAUUGGUAGUAGGCGGCAGAUUUAAAAUCUGUUUUUUUGUGAGGGUUCGAGUCCCUCCAGGAGCAU
Molecule: transfer RNA, 80 nt
Filed under: Microseira wollei NIES-4236
Lineage: Bacteria; Bacillati; Cyanobacteriota; Cyanophyceae; Aerosakkonematales; Aerosakkonemataceae
Description: tRNA-Leu
Rfam family: tRNA
About the family: Transfer RNA (tRNA) molecules are approximately 80 nucleotides in length. Their secondary structure includes four short double-helical elements and three loops (D, anti-codon, and T loops).
Source: RNAcentral